Calidris pugnax (ruff) is the source of this 606-nucleotide long non-coding RNA. RefSeq lists it as uncharacterized. Lineage: Eukaryota; Metazoa; Chordata; Aves; Charadriiformes; Scolopacidae. The transcript is spliced from 3 exons. The record is from RefSeq and is a predicted model, not a curated record.
AUCAUGUCCAUCAUGUGACACCCGCAGGCCUCUCUCUCUCUCUUUCUCUAUAGAAACUUAAAGGGGACUUUCACGUGACGACGACACCGCCGCCGGACCCGCCGGUACCCCCCGAUCAUCCUUAAAGGAGAAAGAGGCUGGAGCUGGGAUAUAAAGUAGUCUUCCAGGAGUACUGCCAGAACUGAUCUGUUUUACUCUGCUGCUGCUGCUGCUGCUGUUGCUGUUCUGCUGUGUCAUGGGAAGAGAGUUACCUAGCCCUCGGAAACGGCACCUCAGGCACAGCCUCUUGCUGCACACCCGAGCCGUGUUUUCCACAGCCGAAGGCGAGCCUCUCACCUGCUCUGCUCCUAUCCAUAACUAUUUGCAAGACCAGAGCUAAAUCGUUUAUCGGAAGGAAAUGUUGGAUGCAAAUACCUACAUGAGCUGUUUCUACGUCAUGUCACGGACGAGAUGGGAUGCUCGAACAAGGUUAUAAUGUACCUGCAUUUUCUCCAGAUCGGUGCCAAGCUUGCUGAGUCAUUUUCCCUGUUCCCAUUCUGCAGUCGGCUGCUUGCUCGCUAUUCCCUGUUAUUUGUGUGGGUCGUAAGCCCAGCAACAGAUGAGAAU